GUGGGGAAUAUUGGACAAUGGGGGGAACCCUGAUCCAGCCAUGCCGCGUGUGUGAAGAAGGCCUUUUGGUUGUAAAGCACUUUAAGCGAGGAGGAGGCUACCGAGAUUAAUACUCUUGGAUAGUGGACGUUACUCGCAGAAUAAGCACCGGCUAACUCUGUGCCAGCAGCCGCGGUAAUACAGAGGGUGCAAGCGUUAAUCGGAUUUACUGGGCGUAAAGCGCGCGUAGGUGGCCAAUUAAGUCAAAUGUGAAAUCCCCGAGCUUAACUUGGGAAUUGCAUUCGAUACUGGUUGGCUAGAGUAUGGGAGAGGAUGGUAGAAUUCCAGGUGUAGCGGUGAAAUGCGUAGAGAUCUGGAGGAAUACCGAUGGCGAAGGCAGCCAUCUGGCCUAAUACUGACACUGAGGUGCGAAAGCAUGGGGAGCACACAGGAUUAGAAACCCUGGUAGUCC
Molecule: ribosomal RNA, 451 nt
Filed under: uncultured bacterium
Lineage: Bacteria
Description: partial 16S ribosomal RNA
Rfam family: Bacterial small subunit ribosomal RNA
Source: RNAcentral